Molecule: long non-coding RNA, 5804 nt
Organism: Schistocerca serialis cubense
Lineage: Eukaryota; Metazoa; Arthropoda; Insecta; Orthoptera; Acrididae
Exons: 2
Source: RefSeq, a predicted model, not a curated record
UACCAUAAUUAUUUACAUAACAUUUGUUUCAAGUCUAGAUCUUCGUAGUGGCAUGAAUACGUAAGGAUCUAAAGUUUGAUCUGCGUGAAUUUUAAUAUCACUGAAUCGUUAUUGGGGAGGCAAGGAAAUUGGCCAACUUCGAAAUCUUGAUCCACCAUGGUAAUUCAGUAUUGCGUGUCGUCACUAAAAUUCAAAUGUGGCGGUAUGUAAAUGUAACUAGUAUGUUGGAUUGCAAUGUUAUUAUUGAAAUAGUCUUACUUUCAGCAAGGCACUGUUAAAUUAUCACCGGUUUCUGCAAACUUUGCUUGAAGGCACAAAUUUAUUUGUAAAGAAAUAACUUACAAAACAUUCUGCUGAGAAGAAUUGCUGUUUACUCCGUACUCCAGUUUUACAGAUCGCGUUGGAUUAAAAUUUCAUCAGUCUGCCUCCAGAUUACUGAGGUUAAAAAACUGCAUAUAAUCAGCUGCCAACACUGAUGCAAAAUAUUGUCCAGAGUUACCUAAGGCAUAUAUAGGAUGAAGAAAAAAUACCACACCUGGCAGUCAGCAUGUGAUUCCUGAUUGCAAUAGAAAACAAAAGUGUAUCGAGCAAAACCUAGCCCUCAUAUAUGUUUAAUGGAAUUGUGAUUUAAAAAACAAGGCUCUGACAGUGGUGUAAGUGCAUGCUACAUGGCCAAGAAUAGGUAGAAUGAACUCUGUGCUGUGCCAGAACUGUCCCAUUACCUCACUGAAGCAACGCCAUGGGGAACAGAUAUCUGGACUUCCCAUUGUUCCAGUUGCAUUCACACCCAACUUUCUUUUUUCUCCAAUUGAAGCGUCAAAUUGUACCCAUUUUUCACCUCCACAGUGUGGUAUGUUGUGUAUUUCUUUCUGCUUCUGUUACCUUUAAACAUUAAGACAUAACAUGAACUACUUACAGAUGUAUACGACCACUUUGUUUCAUCAUGACAUAAAUAAAGCCAAUAGAAAAUAAAAGUGGAUAUAGUAACAUUGUCUGUAUCCUUGAGGCAUAAAAAAUUCAGUAGGUAGGCAACACUAAAUUGCAACCUAUGCUAAGCACAAUAAUUCCAUUCUGUACAUUUGAUGUCCAGGCUUAUCUUCACAUAGCUGGUUUGUACAUGUACAAGAAACAUUCACUUAAGAUGUUCAAAGUGACCACCUUGCAUUUGCAAGCACUUCGCCACUCACUGAAUCGUGCUUUGCUGUACCCUAAAAACACACCUGCAUCUACGAUUGCUGAAAAGAGCUGUGCAGUUGAGCUGUUAAAAAAAGUCAUGUACAUCCAUAUGUGGAGUACUAUAAACUUGUUCCUUUAAGUGUCCCCACAAAUAAAAAAUCUAGUGGAUUAAGGUCCAAGAAAUGUGGAGACCAGAACAUUGGACAUCCACAACCAAUCAAUUUCCCUGAAAACACUUCAUUUUAAUAGUUACAUACAUUCAUUCCAAUGUUUGGUGAUGCACCAUCAUACGUAAACCAUUGCUGUCACCAAACACAAAGUGGGACAUUUUUAAUGUGUCAGGCAAAGCAUUACAAAGAAAUAUACAAUAUAGAUGUGAAUUCAACUUGUCCAGCAAUAUGUAAGGGCCUGAAAGCACUCCUCCCAUGAUUCAAGCACACAGGUUUAUGCCAAAGCAUGCCUAAAAGCCACAUUCACAGGUGACAUGUGGGUUGCAUUCCAACCAAUAAUGGCUGUUGUGGAGGUUGAAAAUACUUUCACAAGUAAAGCUAGAGUCAUCAGUCUUUUCAUGUUAUUUAUAAAAUUUCCAUUAUCUUCCACUCACUGCAAAAGCCGCUCACAAAACUAUACUCAGCCAAUGCGGUCUUCUGGCCACUGGUGUUGGGUUAACAUGUAAUGAUGUGGAUGCAGUUCUUCAUCGUGUGACACUGCAAAAACCAGUCUUUGACAUAUCUGGAAGUGCCUUGUAAUAUCACAGACUCUUCACCGAGGUAACUGGUGAAUGGUUUUCAGAAUUGUGUCCUCCGUUUGUGGAAUACAUGUCUAGUCCUUGGAUGACAUCUGUCCAUUGCUUGUGGACAUAGAUUAUUGGUUUCCCAAAGGCAUCGCUCCAAGCAAUGAAAAACAUUCUUAUUGGGAUGGCGCUUUUGAGGGUACCAUGCAGCAUAUGCACUAGCAGCGGCAGCAACUUGGUUAUUCGAUGCACUCAGCACCAAAAGCAUAUCGAGAUAUUCUUCAUUUGUGUACUCCAUCGGCAAGCCACCAUACAUGAAUUGACAGGACCAGUUAUGAGUGUGCAUUCCAUGAUUAGUAGGUGCAUGCACACAAUUUAAUGAAUCCCACUGUCAUGUGAUAGGUAUUGUCUUGUGACAGAAUGGUGUCCUGCUUGUAAAUGAUGAGAACUAGAGAACGGAUCUCUAAAAAACCAGACAAGUGCAAGUAGGACUCACACUCUAAGGGUUCUGUACAAACUUAAUUAUGUAUGUAAAUAGUUUACCUAAAGUUUUGAUGCGUGAGAUUGCAAGUAUCAAAAUAUGUGACAUGAUAGGUCCUAUCCUUUGACUACAUUGACUUAGAAACAUAAAUUUUUUACACCACCAAAGAAUAGUAGACAUUCGUAUUUGAUACAAAUUUCAACUUUAUAGCUCUAUAUGUCCUGAGAAAAAUGGGUUACGACAGACAGACCGACAACAAAUGGCAUAAUAAUAUUUUUUAUUUGAUAUUGUUACAAAUUAACAAUUUUUUUAAAUUUUUUUCCUGUACUUGUACUGUGAAAUCUUGCUUCUUGCCAAAUUUCAUGAUUCUAGGUCAACUGGAAGUACCCUACAGGUUAUCAUAAAUGAUUUCAUGAGUGUAGAAAAAUGUGACAUAAAUGACAUUUUGUAAUUGCAUUGACUUGGAAGCUUAAAAUUUUUGCACUGCCAAGGAACAGUAGUCCUCAGUGUUUCACAUAAAUUUGAACUUGGUACCUCAAUCUGUUCCUGAGAACAAGGGAUCUUAAGAACUGGACAGAUAGUACUUACCAAGUGCAGUGCGAAACCCUGAAAACAAAAAAUGAACCUGACAUGGCUUCGAACCACAGCUCCAUGGUGGAUGUGGGUUCGACAUCCCAGCAGUCUAUGCAGUGAGCUACGACUGCUAGUAUGGUAGUGUUGGGUGAUACAAGUUCCUACGUACAUUCUGAUGCGCUGCAUGAUGUGACAGUAUUGUUAGCUCCUUGUUUUCAUACACUUGUUUUCAAAAUGCACCUGAUCUGAUUUUGCCAGAUAAAUUUUUGUCUUGAAUCUGGAUGAGGACUCAUGUGCUGACUUCCGAAUGUGGAAUUUUUUCUUCACCCUGAAUUUUUGAACCAUUACACUAGGUAUAUAGCAGUUAUCAUAUUUCAUGGUCAAAAUAUGAGUCUUAGUUCAACUGAUGAUACAAUUUGUGUAUUAAAUACAUAUUUGCAUGACUAGCUUUGUGAUAAACACAGAAACAUAAAGGAGGCAAUUUGCAUCAACACAAGAGUAUUGACUCUCUCUACUUAUUUUCUUGCCAUUUUGCCUUGUUACUAAUGUUUCCAUUUUGUAAUAUUUCUUUUCUCUCAUGGAAGGCAGAGCAUAAUACGACAAGUGUUCUGUUUACACAAUCUUUUCCAGCUCUUGUAGUGUUUUAGUCAAGAAUGACUUGAGGUUUUCUCAUUCUUUUUCAUUAGUUCUCUGCUUGUGCUAUAUCAGCAUUAUGUACUAAUCUGAGCAGAUUCUUGUUAUUUUUCAGCUCAGAGUUGUUCUUUGUCUUGCUGGAAAGCUGAAGCAUCUCCCAUGUUCAAAUUCUUGCUCUUUAUUCCAGUUGGGAUAAUUAUCUGGUUCAACUUGCAUAUUGAAUAUCAUAAUGAUACCUAAAGCUACUAUAUCAAACAUUAAUUGUAACACUCAACACUCUUGGCCACAGUGUACAAAAGGAUGUUUCAGUUCUAUCAAUUAUCCAAAUAUCUGUUCAAAAAAGGAUUGAUCAGGUAAAUAUCCUCUUUUGGAUUCACAUAACAUGAAAGACAUUAUGUUAAAUUGGUAUCUUUUAAGUGGCAUAUACUGUAUCUAGCCAAGUCUUGCCUUUGAAUAUAAUAGAGGGAAACAUUCCACGUGGAAAAAUUAUAUCUAAAAACAAAGAUGAUGAGACUUACCAAACAAAAGCGCUGGCAGGUCGAUAGGCACACAAACAAACACAAACAUACAUACAAAAUUCUAGCUUUCGCAACCAACUGUUGCUUCGUCAGGAAAGAGGGAAGGAGAGGGAAAGACAAAAGGAUGUGGGUUUUAAGGGAGAGGGUAAGGAGAUAUUCCAAUCCCGGGAGCGGAAAGACUUACCUUAGGGGGGAAAAAGGACGGGUAUACACUCGCACACACACACAUAUCCAUCCACACAUACACGGACACAAGCAGACAUUUGUAAAGCGGGGUUUGCAUUACAUAUCACUAUUUUAAAUACGUUACAUAUUACAAACCUAUGGAUGCAGAUGUGUUGCUGCAUCUAUUUGAGUGAUGUUCAUUAGUGGCAAAUCAUUGUUUCAUUAUUGCUCAUGGUGAUGAAGGUGAAACAUGUCAUCCAUGAACUAGCAUGUGACUGCGUAUAAAAACUUCAAUUUCUUUGUAAAUGAUAUGUGAAGUGUAGGUAUUGUGAAAGUUAUACUUUCCAAUUAACAGUUAGCUCCAUUGUUUUCCUCUACUGGUGAUUCAACAGGAAAUUGUAUAGAAUUCAAAUCCACUCUGAAAUUAUGUGCAGCAAACAGCUAAAUACUCAGGUGACUCAUUUUACAUCUUCCAAUACAGCUGUUUCUUGAAUUUAGAAAUCAGUUCAUGGUAGGAGUAAAAAAUCUUCCCAUUAAAAAUUUGAUGUUAGUAUUCUGCAGUAUUGUGCUUUCUAUUACUUCAGAUGUUGCUUUACUUUUUCCUUCACCGCCUUUAGCUUCUACUUUCUAGGGUUCCAUACCUCAGUCGGUAAAAAUGUAACUCUUAUAGGAUAUAAUUAGCCAGCUAUCACAAGUAGUUUCCAAUCAGAUAUUAAAAACAAUUGAUUAUAGGACAAUUUUUUGCACAGAUUAGUUAUGGGAUAGAGAUAUGGGGCUGUGCUGCUGACAUACAUGUGAACAGAAUAUUAAUCCUGCAGAAAAGAGCAAUCAGGGUUAUACAUGGAAUAAGGUACAGAAGCUCCUACAGGGAAACCUUUGUACAUCAUACAUACCUCACAGUCUAUUCACUGUAUCUUUACAAAUUAAUUACAUUUUUUGUGAUACAUCAAAACAAACCAACCAGGUGCUCUGAUAUGCACAUCUAUAAUACAAGAAAAACUGAUACUAUGGACAAAGAACAAAACUAAAAAUGACAGACUGUAUAGUCCAUGUUAACAGCCAGAUAUGGUGUAAGAAACUGCUGAGCUCUAUAAGGUGUCUUAAAGGGAACUUAUUCAAAGUGAAAGUAAAAUCAUUGUUGACUGAUAAGUGCUUAUACUCUUUGAGUGAAUAUCAGUACAUCAAAUUGAAAUCUUUGUUACCUUGUUAUGUUAAAUCUGAAUGUUUGUAAUAAUUAUGAUGUAACAUAAAUUAUGUUGUCUUACUAAGUACACUGUCAUUUGUACCAUGCAAAUGUUUUCACUUAUUCGUAUAUAAAAUGUACCUGCUCUCUUUGAAGCUUGUAAAUUUAUUGUCUCACUAAGUACACCAAUAUUUGUAUUAGGUAGAUCUAUAUGUAAUCCCUUAUGCAUGUAUAAAAUGAAUCUGUUUGUAUGAAACUUGUAAAAAAUUGCUGUGACAUUUGCAGAAGUCACCAGUUGGUGGCUUCACGCAAAAAAAUACAACAAAUAGAUUAAAUAAAUCA